UCCAGACUCCUACGGGAGGCAGCAGUGGGGAAUAUUGCACAAUGGGGGAAACCCUGAUGCAGCGACGCCGCGUGAGCGAAGAAGUAUUUCGGUAUGUAAAGCUCUAUCAGCAGGGAAGAAAAAAAUGACGGUACCUGAGUAAGAAGCACCGGCUAAAUACGUGCCAGCAGCCGCGGUAAUACGUAUGGUGCAAGCGUUAUCCGGAUUUACUGGGUGUAAAGGGAGCGUAGGCGGCGCGUUAAGUCUGAUGUGAAAACCCGAGGCUCAACCACGGGAGUGCAUUGGAAACUGGCGGGCUGGAGUGCCGGAGAGGUAAGCGGAAUUCCUAGUGUAGCGGUGAAAUGCGUAGAUAUUAGGAGGAACACCAGUGGCGAAGGCGGCGUACUGGACGGCAACUGACGCUGAGGCUCGAAAGCGUGGGGAGCAAACAGGAUUAGAUACCCCAGUAAUA
RNAcentral lists this ribosomal RNA (451 nucleotides) under uncultured bacterium. Its description in RNAcentral is "bacterial SSU rRNA". It matches the Rfam family "Bacterial small subunit ribosomal RNA", at positions 330 to 795 of the family's 1533-position model. The record is from RNAcentral.